This 315-nucleotide ribosomal RNA is filed under the name uncultured bacterium. RNAcentral describes it as "bacterial SSU rRNA". It matches the Rfam family "Bacterial small subunit ribosomal RNA", at positions 28 to 334 of the family's 1533-position model. The record is from RNAcentral.
GAUGAACGCUGGCGGCGUGCCUAACACAUGCAAGUCGAACGGGGGCAGAUUGAAACCUAGUGAUAUCUGCCCGAGUGGCGGACGGGUGAGUAACGCGUGGACAACCUGCCGCAUGCAGGGGGAUACCGGCUGGAAACAGCCGCUAAUACCGCAUAUGCGCACAGUGCCGCAUGGCACAGUGCGGAAAGGAUUAUUCCGGCAUGCGAUGGGUCCGCGUCCGAUUAGCUUGUUGGCGGGGCAGCGGCCCACCAAGGCGACGAUCGGUAGCCGGCCUGAGAGGGCGGACGGCCACAUUGGGACUGAGACACGGCCCAG